GCUGAGUGUCCCGCGGGGCCCG
RNAcentral lists this non-coding RNA (22 nucleotides) under Mus musculus (house mouse). The record is from RNAcentral. Lineage: Eukaryota; Metazoa; Chordata; Mammalia; Rodentia; Muridae.